GACGAACCGUCCAAACGUUGUUCGGAUUCACUGGGCUUAAAGGGCGCGUAGGCGGGUGAGCAAGUCCGGGGUGAAAUCUUUCGGCUUAACCGGAAAAUAGCCUUGGAUACUGCUUGUCUAGAGGGAGGUAGGGGUCUGUGGAACUUCCGGUGGAGCGGUGAAAUGCGUUGAUAUCGGAAGGAACGCCGGUGGCGAAAGCGACGGACUGGACCUCUUCUGACGCUGAGGCGCGAAAGCCAGGGUAGCGAACGGG
This 253-nucleotide ribosomal RNA is filed under the name uncultured bacterium. RNAcentral describes it as "partial 16S ribosomal RNA". It matches the Rfam family "Bacterial small subunit ribosomal RNA", at positions 524 to 776 of the family's 1533-position model. The record is from RNAcentral.